RNAcentral lists this ribosomal RNA (465 nucleotides) under uncultured bacterium. RNAcentral's name for it is "partial 16S ribosomal RNA". It matches the Rfam family "Bacterial small subunit ribosomal RNA", at positions 338 to 795 of the family's 1533-position model. The record is from RNAcentral.
CCUACGGGAGGCAGCAGUAGGGAAUCUUCCACAAUGGACGAAAGUCUGAUGGAGCAACGCCGCGUGAGUGAAGAAGGGUUUCGGCUCGUAAAGCUCUGUGGGUAGUGAAGAAAGAUAGAGGUAGUAACUGGCCGUUAUUUGACGGUAAUUACUUAGAAAGUCACGGCUAACUACGUGCCAGCAGCCGCGGUAAUACGUAGGUGGCAAGCGUUGUCCGGACUUAUUGGGCGUAAAGCGAGUGCAGGCGGUUCAAUAUGUCUGAUGUCAAAGCCUUCGGCUCAACCCGAGAAUUGCAUCAGAAACUGUUGAACUUUAGUGCAGAAGAGGAGAGUGGAACUCCAUGUGUAGCGGUGGAAUGCGUAGAGAUAUGGAAGAACACCAGUGGCGAAGGCGACUCUCUGGUCUGCAACUGACGCUGAGGCUCGAAAGCAUGGGUAGCGAACAGGAUUAGAUACCCCUGUAGUC